CGGAAUGUAGCGCAGCCUGGUAGCGCACCUGCUUCGGGAGCAGGGGGCCGGAGGUUCGAAUCCUCUCAUUCCGACCA
This 77-nucleotide transfer RNA is filed under the name Geobacter sp. RNAcentral describes it as "tRNA-Pro". It matches the Rfam family "tRNA". Rfam says of the family: Transfer RNA (tRNA) molecules are approximately 80 nucleotides in length. Their secondary structure includes four short double-helical elements and three loops (D, anti-codon, and T loops). The record is from RNAcentral. Lineage: Bacteria; Pseudomonadati; Thermodesulfobacteriota; Desulfuromonadia; Geobacterales; Geobacteraceae. RNAcentral also lists the same sequence under 5 other names.